CUGUGUCACCUGUGUCACCUCCUGUCACCUGUGUCACCUGUGUGUCACCUGUGUCACCUCCUGUCACCUGUGUGUCACCUCCUGUCACCUCUUGGGUCACCUGUGUGUCACUUUGUGUCACCUCCUGUCACCUGUGUCACCUGUGUAUCACCUGUGUGUGUCACCUGUGUCACCUGUGUGUGUCCCCCCAGUGUCCCCCCAGGUCACUCUGUGUCCCCCAAUGUCCCCUCGGGUCCCCCCAUGUCCCCUCCCCCACAUCCCCCACCCCAUUCCCAUAGAUCCCAUUAUCCCCAUUAUCCCCAUUAUUCCCAUUAUUCCCAUUAUUCCCAUUAUUGUUAUUCCCAUCACUCCCAGGUCAUCCCCAGGUUUCUCCCAGGUUAUUCCCAGGUCAUUCCCAUCAUUCCCAUUGUCAUUCCCAGAUUUUUCCCAUCAUUCCCAGAUUUUUCCUGUCAUUCCCAGGAUAUAUCGGUGUCGUUAACCGGAGCCAGAAGGACAUCGACGGCCGCAAGGACAUCCCCACCAUCCCCAUUAUUCCCAUUAUCCCCAUCCCCAUCACUCCCAGGUUUCUCCCAGGUUAUUCCCAGAUUUUUCCCAUCAUUCCCAGAUUUUUCCUGUCAUUCCCAGGAUAUAUUGGAGUGGUGAACCAUAGCCAGAAGGACAUCGAUGGCCGCAAGGACAUCCCCACCAUCCCCAUUAUUCCCAUUAUUCCCAUUAUUCCCAUUAUUCCCAUUAUUCCCAUCCCCACCAUCCCCAUUAUUCCCAUUAUUCCCAUCACUCCCAGGUUUCUCCCAGGUCAUUCCCAGAUUUUUCCCAUCAUUCCCAGAUUUUUCCUGUCAUUCCCAGGUUACAUUGGUGUCGUUAACCAGAGCCAGAAGGACAUCGAUGGCCGCAAGGACAUCCCCACCAUCCCCAUUAUUCCCAUUAUUCCCAUUCCCAUCAUCCCCAGGUUUCUCCCAGGUUAUUCCCACGUCAUUCCCAUCAUUCCCAUUGUCAUUCCCAGAUUUUUCCCAUCAUUCCCAGAUUUUUCCUGUCAUUCCCAGGAUAUAUUGGGGUCGUUAACCGGAGCCAGAAGGACAUCGACGGCCGCAAGGACAUGCCCACCAUCCCCAUUAUUCCCAUUAUUCCCAUUCCCAUUAUUCCCAUUGCCAUUCCCAUCAUCCCCAGGUUAUUCCCAGGUUUCUCCCAGGU
Molecule: long non-coding RNA, 1188 nt
Filed under: Parus major (Great Tit)
Lineage: Eukaryota; Metazoa; Chordata; Aves; Passeriformes; Paridae
Description: lncRNA (ENSPMJG00000004250.1)
Source: RNAcentral